AGUGAACGCUGGCGGUAGGCCUAACACAUGCAAGUCGAACGGCAGCACAGAGGAGCUUGCUCCUUGGGUGGCGAGUGGCGGACGGGUGAGGAAUACAUCGGAAUCUACUCUGUCGUGGGGGAUAACGUAGGGAAACCUACGCUAAUACCGCAUACGACCUACGGGUGAAAGCCGGGGAUCUUCGGACCUUGCGCGAUUGAAUGAGCCGAUGUCGGAUUAGCUAGUUGGCGGGGUAAAGGCCCACCAAGGCGACGAUCCGUAGCUGGUCUGAGAGGAUGAUCAGCCACACUGGAACUGAGACACGGUCCAGACUCCUACGGGAGGCAGCAGUGGGGAAUAUUGGACAAUGGGCGCAAGCCUGAUCCAGCCAUACCGCGUGGGUGAAGAAGGCCUUCGGGUUGUAAAGCCCUUUUGUUGGGAAAGAAAUCCAUCUGGUUAAUACCCGGGUGGGAUGACGGUACCCAAAGAAUAAGCACCGGCUAACUUCGUGCCAGCAGCCGCGGUAA
This 506-nucleotide ribosomal RNA is filed under the name uncultured bacterium. RNAcentral's name for it is "partial 16S ribosomal RNA". It matches the Rfam family "Bacterial small subunit ribosomal RNA", at positions 29 to 523 of the family's 1533-position model. The record is from RNAcentral.